UUGACGGGGAGCACCACAACGGGUGGAGCUUGUCGGUUUAAUUGGAUUCAACGCCGGAAAUCUUACCGGGACCGACAGCAAUAUGAAGGCCAGGCUGAAGACUUUUGCCGGAUUAGCUGAGAGGUGGUGCAUGGCCGUCGUCAGUUCGUACUGUGAAGCAUCCUGUUAAGUCAGGCAACGAGCGAGACCCACGCCCACAGUUGCCAGCGUACUCUCCGGAGUGACGGGUACACUGUGGGGACCGCCGCUGCUAAAGCGGAGGAAGGAAUGGGCAACGGUAGGUCAGUAUGCCCCGAAUAUCCCGGGCUACACGCGAGCUACAAUGGUUGGUACAAUGGGUAUCUACCCCGAAAGGGGACGGGAAUCUCCUAAAACCAAUCUUAGUUCGGAUUGAGGGCCGCAACUCGCCCUCACGAAGCUGGAAUCCGUAGUAAUCGCGUUUCAACAGAACGCGGUGAAUACGUCCCUGCUCCUU
RNAcentral lists this ribosomal RNA (475 nucleotides) under uncultured Methanosaeta sp. RNAcentral's name for it is "bacterial SSU rRNA". It matches the Rfam family "Archaeal small subunit ribosomal RNA", at positions 871 to 1337 of the family's 1478-position model. The record is from RNAcentral. Lineage: Archaea; Methanobacteriati; Methanobacteriota; Methanomicrobia; Methanotrichales; Methanotrichaceae.